This is a non-coding RNA of Chrysemys picta bellii (western painted turtle), 4152 nucleotides long. The record is from RefSeq and is a predicted model, not a curated record. Lineage: Eukaryota; Metazoa; Chordata; Testudines; Emydidae.
GGGGGAAGCGGGACCGGCUCCAUGCAGCCCGGUGGGAGGCUCCGCGCUCAGUCCCGCGUGGGGCUCCCGGGAGCGGCUUGUCCCUGAUGGCGGGCUGGAGACUGAGAAAACGCGACGGGAAGAUGCUGGAAAGGUGAGAGCCAAUGAGGUGUUGUCAGACUGCUCCAUGGGCCAUGCUCCCAGAGUCUGGACCAGGGAAAAGCCGGUGGAAGUCAGCACGGGUUACCAAUGCAGCAGAGAGAAUCCACAGGGGACGGGUGAGGCAAAUCCACUCUCUGCGAGAGAUGUCUUAAGAAGUGCGAAGACGUGGCUGUGCACCAGAGCCCAACUCAGGAGAGAGAGAGACCGUAGACAUGUGGUGAAUGGGGCAAAAGCUCUUGGCAGUGCCCAGCCCUUAUCAAACACCAGAGAAUCUGUAUGGGAAAGACGCCCUACAAAUGCAUUGCGUGUGGGAGGAGCUUGCGGCUGAGCUCAGCACUCCUGAGACACCAGAGGAGCCACGCUGAGCAGAUCCCCCGCCAUCCCACUGACUGUGGGGAGAGCUUCCAGCAGCGCUCUGCCUUUGCCAGACACCGGAGAAUCCACUGGGUGGAGAAAAGGUACGAGUGUGCUGACUGGGGCAAGGCCUUUGGGCAGAGCUCAGAACUGAUCAGACAUCAGGGACUCCACACCGGCAAGCGGCCCUACACGUGCUCCGAGUGUGGGAAGAGCUUCUCUUGGAGCUCAACCCUUGGAGCUCACCGGAGGAUCCAUACAGGCGAGAGACCCCAUCAGUGCAGGGAAUGUGGGGAGCGCUUCAACUGGAGCACCACCCUCCUCGUUCACCAGAGGAGCCAUACGGGGCAGAGACCCUACAAAUGCACUGAGUGUGGGAAAGGCUUCAGUCACAGCUCGGCUCUCGUUCAGCAUCAAAUAAUGCACACGGGAGAGAGACCCUGGACCUGCUCCGGGUGCGAGAAGAGCUUCGGUCAGAGCAAAUCCCUCCUUGCCCAUCAGAGGAGCCACACGGGGAACAGGCCCUAUGGGUGCAGCGAGUGUGGGAAAGGCUUCCAGCGAAGCGCAGAGCUUCUCUGACACUAGGAGGACAGACCCUACAAAUGUAGCGCCUGCGGGAAGAGCUUCAACAGCAGCUCGAACCUGACCGAGCAUCAGCGAAUCCACACUGGGGAGAAACCCUACAAAUGUGUGGUGUGCAGGAAAGGCUUCAGCCAGAAAUCGUCCCUCACAGCCCAUCAGAGAACCCACACGAGCCAGAGGCCCUAUAAAUGUCCCAGUUGUGAGCAAAGGUUUAGGUGGCGCUCAACACUUAUUAGACAUCCGGGAAUCCAUGUGGAGCCCGGUUGCUCUGGGGGCAUUUUCGUAAAACUGCCAGGGAGCUAUGUCCUGUUAAGCAGGGAGCCUGGGGGCUGCACCAAGAAGGGCUGCGUUUGCUCUGGACCCCUCCCAAGAAGGAAGUAAAAGGAGGCAGUCCAAGACUUGAGCAUUCACCUGCUGAGAGAGGAAAUGUAGUUGCUGUAGAGGAAAAAUCAUUUUAUUGAUAAAAACUCAUCAGCUGCUUAUCUCUGAGCUGCCUGGAGAGCAGGUCCUAGCCAGUGUGCUGGGACGUGUGGGGCUCACGGCCUGAUUCUAAGGCACCAAAAAAGUCAUCAUCAAAAUAAUAUGGUGUUCAAUGAUCGCCUAAAUGUGAAUUGUGAAAAAAUAACUGGCAAAACCUGUGUGCUGUGGGGGCGAGAGACUGUGUGGAGCAGAGGUGAGUUACUGAGGGGAGAGUGAGCUGUGAAAGAAAGCAGAACUGCUAAAUUCAAAUCUAUGGAGCUGUAGCCCCUUCUCAUUCAUGCUGGCGCGGCUCUGUGGAUUUCUCCUGCCGUGUUGGCCACAUCUGAGUGCCGUGGAAUGUGCAUCCUGUUUGUGUCCAGGUGUGGACUGGUCCAUGACUUACAGAAACCGAAUCGAUGCAUCGGAGGCGAGCUUAGGCCAGUUGGGCCGGGAGCUCACUCAUCCUGGGGGCGGAGAGAACAAACGACCGGCUGUGCCUCCAGACUGCAGAGGGGGUGAUGCUGAUCACUGGGGCUGGCUGCUUUCUCUUAGGAAUGGCGUAAAACCAUUUGAUCCUGCUUGAAACAUGUAAAAUAGGUUUGUGGGUUGUUGUUUUAUUUAAAAGGCCCCCCCGCCCCCCAAUUUCUGCAAAGGCUCCCUCUGAUCAAGGUAACCACCUCACCCCUUUCCUUGGUCCAUAGCUGAUGUAGGCCCCAUUGCACAGGCAGGGCUUUCAGCAGCCUUGUUGCCGUCUCGCCUGACCUGUCAGAAAUGCCAUGUUUGGGGACGUGGGGAAGAGAGAGCGUCCAGUGUUAGCAGUGGCUGGAAGGUGCAGGCCUCCUCCAGCUGGGACCGCUCGGGAGGUUCCUAGUUGGUUUGAGGGUCAGAUACGCCCACCACGGCUGUGCUCGUGAGCCGGAGUGUGUGACUGUGCUGGAGGUAGUGUAUUGAAUGAUCCCUGUGGCCAUAGGCUGUGGCAGAAGUUCACCACCCCCUAACUUGUCUCCAUCCCUUUGCAUGCAGCUCCCAGGUUCCCUGAAACAGUCAUUGCCCCGCUUAUGCCACCCACCCACCUGCAGCCUCAAUGGAGAGAUUUAAAACUCAACCAGCCUGUGGUCCAGACCCUCCCUGAGAUCUUAGUUCUGGGCAGGGACAGGGGAGCUGCCUCCUCCCCGUGAGACUGGCUGGGAACACUGCACGGAGUCCAGUGUGUUCUGGGAGCAGCGGGGCAGUCACACACUACAGCAUUUCUCUUCCUUGUGGAUGAUAUUUCUCCCAGGCCAAGGGCGCAAUGGUUAACAGGCUGGGGUUUUGCUUGGGGCGGGAGGGGGUGUUUGAACAGGCAGGAGGGACCAAUGAAAGUGUAGAAUUGCUGAGCCUGGAGACUUUUGAACACUUUACAUAAUUAACACUCACAUAAUCAGUGAGGUGACAGGCAAGCGUUGCGGGCCAAAGCUGGGGCAUUUGCCCGUCAGAGAAACUUGCGAGUGGGACCAGUCCAAAUGCCCUCAGACCCUCCUGCGUUGGUCCUGGACCAGUGAGCAGGAAGGAAAGCUCCUGCUCCCGGAUUCCUAGUAGCUACAUCCCCCGGGCCCAGAGGUGUGUGCCUGCCUGGACUAGGGAAGGAAGAAGAGGCUAAGGGUUUCCAUGCGUUGAUGGGGGUGAGCUGCCUGCAGUGGGGAGGAGAUGAGUCCAGUCUGCCGUGGGGGACUGACUGAUCAUGAGUUUGGGAGGCUGACUGGUGAUUUUUCCAUUCGGGGGGUUGGCAAUGCUGAUCUUGCUCACCAGGUCGCUUUUCCCGAAGCGCUUGCAGCGGUAAUUGUAAGUACGAGAUAACUCGUUAGUAAUAGCCCACGAGUAACAGCACUAGUUAUUUUUGUUUAGCAAUUCUACUUUCAUGCUUCUACUUGUCGGUCAGGCAUUUUCUACAUUCAUAGUUUACUCUACAGUUUAACAAGAGUUGAGUACGCAAGUGACAGUUUAGUCACUGUUAGAAUUUGGACUUAAUCUCCACGAACAGAAUAGUGUAAUGUAAUGUAUACCAUGGGUGGAUUCUUUGGUCAUCCAGCUGUAUUAUUUAAUGAUGAGACAAAAAUCAAAAAGUAUGAACAGAUGAACCUCGUACAUAGCGGCGUUCCUUUUUCCUUAUGAGUCUUACUUUAAAUCUCUACCUAAAAGGACAGUUUAAUUAAGCUUUAACGUCUCUCCUAUAAAGAAAGAAAACAUAAAAUUCCCCAAAGCCCCCUAGUGUGCUAAACCGUCCAAUCCAACUCCAGUCAAGUGACACCACACAUUUUAAACCCACACGGAGUGCUCAACUGAAACAACCCAAUUAAAGCAGAGCUUAGCGUGCAAAGCCAGGUUUCUUACAAUCUUCAUAAGAAAGUUCCCACGCUGUAUUGUCAAACGCUGCUAAUUUCUGGGGUGUUACAUUGACGAUUACAGCCAGAAUGAUGAUGAUAAAUUCUUCAAAGCCACAACGGGUCAGUAGGCAAGAGAUAAGAGGUCUUUGUUCACAAAAGGAGAAUUCCAAUGCCAGUUAAACUGAAACUGCCCAUUAACAGAUGUAUAUAAAAGUUAGGUUUCAGAGUAGCAGCCGUGUUAGUCUGUAUCCGC